GGAUUGUGGCUCAGCGGUAGAGCGCUUGCCUCGCAUGUCCGAGGUCCUGGGUUCCAUCCUCAGCACCA
RNAcentral lists this transfer RNA (68 nucleotides) under Marmota monax (woodchuck). RNAcentral's name for it is "tRNA.Ala". The record is from RNAcentral. Lineage: Eukaryota; Metazoa; Chordata; Mammalia; Rodentia; Sciuridae.